UAUAGAGAUUAUAGUGGAGGUUUACCAUGGAGACAGGUUGGUGCAGUUGGUUGUCGUCAGCUCGUGUCGUGAGAUUGUUGGGUUAAGUCCCGCAACGAGCGCAACCCUUAUUGCUAGUUACCAUCAUUAAGUUGGGGACUCUAGCGAGACUGCCAGUGAUAAACUGGAGAAGUGGGAUGACGUCAAAUCAUCAUGCCCCUUAUGACCUGGGCUACAAACGUGAUACAAUGGCUGAAACAAAGGGCAGCGAAGCAGUGAUGUGAAGCGAAACCCAAAAAAGCAGUCUCAGUUCGGAUUGAAGUCUGCAACUCGACUUCAUGAAGUCGGAAUCGCUAGUAAUCGCGAAUCAGAACGUCGCGGUGAAUACGUUCUCGGGGUUU
RNAcentral lists this ribosomal RNA (380 nucleotides) under uncultured Acholeplasma sp. RNAcentral's name for it is "bacterial SSU rRNA". It matches the Rfam family "Bacterial small subunit ribosomal RNA", at positions 998 to 1382 of the family's 1533-position model. The record is from RNAcentral. Lineage: Bacteria; Bacillati; Mycoplasmatota; Mollicutes; Acholeplasmatales; Acholeplasmataceae.